GGUGGAAUAUCCAAGUGGCCAAAGGAUGGGGACUGUAAAUCCUCCCGCUCACGCGUUCGCUGGUUCGACUCCGGCUUCCACCACCA
Molecule: transfer RNA, 86 nt
Filed under: Opitutus sp.
Lineage: Bacteria; Pseudomonadati; Verrucomicrobiota; Opitutia; Opitutales; Opitutaceae
Also listed under: 4 other names
Description: tRNA-Tyr
Rfam family: tRNA
About the family: Transfer RNA (tRNA) molecules are approximately 80 nucleotides in length. Their secondary structure includes four short double-helical elements and three loops (D, anti-codon, and T loops).
Source: RNAcentral